This 371-nucleotide ribosomal RNA is filed under the name uncultured organism. RNAcentral's name for it is "bacterial SSU rRNA". It matches the Rfam family "Bacterial small subunit ribosomal RNA", at positions 527 to 896 of the family's 1533-position model. The record is from RNAcentral.
GUAGGGGGCAAGCGUUGUCCGGAUUCAUUGGGCGUAAAGAGCGUGUAGGCGGCCAGGUAGGUCGGUUGUGAAAACUGGAGGCUCAACCUUCAGAGGUCGACCGAAACCAUCUGGCUAGAGUCCGGGAGAGGAGAGUGGAAUUCCUGGUGUAGCGGUGAAAUGCGCAGAUAUCAGGAAGAACACCCGUGGCGAAAGCGGCUCUCUGGAACGGUACUGACGCUGAGACGCGAAAGCGUGGGGAGCGAACAGGAUUAGAUACCCUGGUAGUCCACGCCGUAAACGAUGGGCGCUAGGUGUGGGAGGUGUCGACUCCUCCCGUGCCGAAGCUAACGCAUUAAGCGCCCCGCCUGGGGAGUACGGCCGCAAGGCUA